This 253-nucleotide ribosomal RNA is filed under the name uncultured bacterium. RNAcentral describes it as "partial 16S ribosomal RNA". It matches the Rfam family "Bacterial small subunit ribosomal RNA", at positions 524 to 776 of the family's 1533-position model. The record is from RNAcentral.
UACGUAGGGUCCGAGCGUUGUCCGGAAUUACUGGGCGUAAAGAGCUCGUAGGUGGUUUGUCGCGUUGUUCGUGAAAACUCACAGCUUAACUGUGGGCGUGCGGGCGAUACGGGCAGACUGGAGUACUGCAGGGGAGACUGGAAUUCCUGGUGUAGCGGUGGAAUGCGCAGAUAUCAGGAGGAACACCGGUGGCGAAGGCGGGUCUCUGGGCCACUACUGACGCUGAGAAGCGAAAGCAUGGGGAGCGAACAGG